Molecule: transfer RNA, 81 nt
Filed under: Streptomyces pilosus
Lineage: Bacteria; Bacillati; Actinomycetota; Actinomycetes; Kitasatosporales; Streptomycetaceae
Description: tRNA-Thr
Source: RNAcentral
GCCGACUUGAGGUCCACGAGGACGGACCGCUUGUUGCGGUUGGUGACGUCGCGGCCCGGUUCGAUGCCGAGGGGCGGCACC